RNAcentral lists this ribosomal RNA (351 nucleotides) under uncultured Anaerolineaceae bacterium. RNAcentral describes it as "bacterial SSU rRNA". It matches the Rfam family "Bacterial small subunit ribosomal RNA", at positions 1016 to 1382 of the family's 1533-position model. The record is from RNAcentral. Lineage: Bacteria; Bacillati; Chloroflexota; Anaerolineae; Anaerolineales; Anaerolineaceae.
CCCUUCGGGGAGCCUGAACAGGUGCUGCAUGGCUGUCGUCAGCUCGUGUCGUGAGAUGUCCGGUUAAGUCCGGUAACGAGCGCAACCCUUGCCGUAUGUUACAAGUGUCAUACGGGACUGCCGGUAUCAAGCCGGAGGAAGGUGGGGAUGACGUCAAGUCAGCAUGGCCUUUAUAUCCGGGGCUACACACACGCUACAAUGGUCAGUACAAUAGGUUGCAAAGCCGCGAGGUGGAGCCAAUCCAUAAAGCUGGCCUCAGUUCAGAUUGCAGGCUGCAACUCGCCUGCAUGAAGUUGGAGUUGCUAGUAACCGCGCGUCAGCCAUAGUGCGGUGAAUACGUUCCCGGGCCUU